CGAAGGAUCCAAGCGUUAUCCGGAUUCAUUGGGUUUAAAGGGUGCGUAGGCGGGUUUGUAAGUCAGUGGUGAAAGCCGGUCGCUCAACGAUCGAAUUGCCAUUGAUACUGCAGACCUAGAAUAUAGAUGACGUUGGCGGAAUAUGACAUGUAGCGGUGAAAUGCAUAGAUAUGUCAUAGAACACCGAUUGCGAAGGCAGCUGACGAAACUAUAAUUGACGCUGAUGCACGAAAGUGCGGGGAUCAAACAGGAUUAGAUGCCCUGGUAGUCCGCACAGUAAACGAUGAUAACUAGAUGUUUGCGAUAUACAGUAAGCGUCCAAGCGAAAGCGAUAAGUUAUCCACCUGGGGAGUACGCCGGCAACGGUG
RNAcentral lists this ribosomal RNA (368 nucleotides) under uncultured organism. RNAcentral describes it as "bacterial SSU rRNA". It matches the Rfam family "Bacterial small subunit ribosomal RNA", at positions 526 to 896 of the family's 1533-position model. The record is from RNAcentral.